GACGAACGCUGGCGGCGUGCCUAAUACAUGCAAGUAGAACGCUGAAGAGAGGAGCUUACUCUUCUUGGAUGAGUUGCGAACGGGUGAGUAACGCGUAGGUAACCUGCCUUGUAGCGGGGGAUAACUAUUGGAAACGAUAGCUAAUACCGCAUAACAAUGGAUGACACAUGUCAUUUAUUUGAAAGGGGCAAUUGCUCCACUACAAGAUGGACCUGCGUUGUAUUAGCUAGUAGGUGAGGUAAUGGCUCACCUAGGCGACGAUACAUAGCCGACCUGAGAGGGUGAUCGGCCACCCUGGGACGGAGACACGGCCCAGACUCCUACGGGAGGCAGCAGUAGGGAAUCUUCGGCAAUGGGGGCAACCCUGACCGAGCAACGCCGCGUGAGUGAAGAAGGUUUUCGGAUCGUAAAGCUCUGUUGUAAGUCAAGAACGGGUGUGAGAGUGGAAAGUUCACACUGUGACGGUAGCUUACCAGAAAGGGACGGCUAACUACGUG
Molecule: ribosomal RNA, 497 nt
Filed under: uncultured bacterium
Lineage: Bacteria
Description: partial 16S ribosomal RNA
Rfam family: Bacterial small subunit ribosomal RNA
Source: RNAcentral